Tarenaya hassleriana is the source of this 3389-nucleotide long non-coding RNA. RefSeq lists it as uncharacterized. NCBI's taxonomy places the organism in Eukaryota, Viridiplantae, Streptophyta, Magnoliopsida, Brassicales, Cleomaceae. The record is from RefSeq and is a predicted model, not a curated record. The transcript is spliced from 6 exons.
GGAUAUCUCUGACACUAAAACAUAAGUUGGGGUAAGAAAAUUGCAAAUGUAAGAGUUUCGGGCUUUUGGUAAUUUGUUGCUUUUAUGCCGAAAAAGGAAUAGAAAACCCGGACGGAGAGAAAACAAGCAGCUUCUCUUUUGCUGAAUCAAAUCCAUGGCGGUGAUCGGUCCGCCCACGCGCAUAUCGCCGUCUAAAAGAACCGCCUCUUCGACGGAAAAGCUGCUCCGACGUCGCGGAUCGUCGUGGUUCGGUGUCAGAAGACCAAUCUCCGACAAAAUUAGACCAGUGGGUUCCAUGGAAUCAACCAAUCACGUCUCUUCCACCGGUGCAAGACUGAUCGGACCAGAACACUGCAUGAAGCAUGUUUUUGCAUCCCCUAACUUCACACGGAAAUGAAUACAGAUGUGCAAAGUUCUUGGUGGAGGGCUUAGAGCUGAAGAGAUCAAAAUAGCUUUUGCGAGAGUAUGUAAGCAAUGCUUCAGUAGAGGCAAAUCUUGUAAAGGAUUUUUGACUAAGGUUGAAAUGAUCCUCCAAAGCAUUAGAACAUGAAACAGAACAAAGUGCCUCCUCACCCGAGUUCGAACCCCAUCCCAGGCUACCCAUUACCAAAAAAGAACAUUGUGACAGAAGAGAGCCACUCCUCCAUUUCCAUUGUCCAAUGUAGGAAAGUUUCAGACCGAAAUCGGAAAGAGCUGGGCCGCACAGAUCAACUCGAGAAGAAAUCAUCGAUUGGCGAACAAUAUGCAAGUAGUUCAUCUCCCAUUCUCUCGUUGUGACUGUCAAGAAUCGCAGCUUCCACAAUGUACAGGCCUCUUCUUUUCCACAGUUUCUGGUUUUAGGGUUUAUAAAUUUGCUAGUAACAUAUACUGGUUUUUAGAUUUAUGCCAUUUCCAUUGACUCCAAAAACCCAUCUGCUUCACUGGUCAAAGCUUUAUUCAUGGGAAAGUACAUCAACUUUGAUAUUGAGUAUAUUCAAGAUUCUUGAUCAAACCCAUAUCUCUAGGGCAAGGCAAGGGUUUAGAACAUAUCAAUCUCCUUGAGUUGUAUCUCUAUGCUCUUGUCUGAAACCAGAGCCAAAGCCAGCUGAAAAUAUUCUCUCUGCUCUCUCCUCCUCAGAAUAGGAUUUGAUCUCAAUGGCACACACGUGUCAACGCCUAUGCAUACAUGAAUAUACCUAUAUAUAUACGUAUUGUAUAAUUCCAAUUCCACCGACAACAAAAAAAAAAAAGGAAAGGAAAAUUACUCCAAGACCCUUCUCCACAUGGACCUUGGAGGGUAAUAUAUGAUCCUUGAUCACGUGUUCACAUUGCCUUCUUUUUUUUUCCCUCUCUUCUUACCCUUUUGGUCGGAGUUUUUUCUUUUACUUGUGGAUUUCUUCACAAGUAGGCAAGUGAAAAUGGAGAAUGCCACGUGGCAAAAAAACAGAACAAAAGUGGGAUAUAUAAAUGUUUGGAAUCUUUGUUUCACGGGUCGUUACAAAACAAAAAGGAUUAACAUUUUAUGAAUGAAUUUUUUAUGGAGAGCAUAUUUUUAUUAUUGCCGAUUUAGUUUGCAUUAAAUAGUGCAACUGACUCGUGUUUAAAUUAUACAUUUAAAAUACUAAAUUGAAGUAAAAAAAAAACAGUAAGAACUUUGUCUGGUUUACGAAAAAAAAAUGUGUUAUUAUCCAAUUUUUUCCUUUUAAUUGUGGUGAAUAUCAAUGAACUGCGAGUCUUCGAUCUCAUAUUGAACAUAAACGAAUAAUAAAUAUUAGUACUCGUCUUUCCUUUAAACAAAUAAUUUUACGCAAUUGAAAUAUUAAAAUAAUAGUUUUUUGGAGUGAUCAAAGUCAAUCAACUUGAGGUAUGCAUAUAUAUAUAAAUAUAUGUAUAUAAAAUUUUAAAUAUGAUGCAACAUGUGAUUAAAAAAAUUGAAAAGUAGUGAAAAUGACAAAAGACUGACUUCUUAUGCAUAAAUAAAAUUCAGAUUUUGCUGUGAACAAAUCGGAACUUAAGUUAAUACGAAAAGAUCUUUUUAUCGCAUAUUACAUUUUUAUUAUUUAGAUAUAAGAUUUUUUUUAAACACAGGUUUUUUCCACACACAAAAAAAAAACUUUUUGCGGUGAAAAUUCGAAUAUUUUUCUGAUUCUAAAACCUCAAAAUCAUUACAAUGUUUGCUAAAAUUGGAAACUUUUGGAUAUUUUCUGUGAAAAUUUUGGACUCAGAUGAGGAAAUUUCCCCUAAAAGGAUUAACAUAUUUUUUUGUUCUUUUUUCCGUUUUCAGUUAAUUGCUUUAUCAGUGCCGGUGGUAUGGUAGUUUACGUCAACCAAAAAAAAAAGGCAAAUCUAUCUAUUGAUUUAAUGACAGAACUCUGAUUUCUUGACCGUUGAUUUGUCGCCUGAAGCAAAGCAUCUUCACAGAAACAUUAGAAUGAUAUUAUAAGACGAUUUCGUGAAAACUUUCAAUAUGAUUUUCUAGUUUUUUUUUUCCCUAUCGCUGAUUCGAUUCAUCGUUGUUUUCUGGUCUUUUUCUCAGUUUCUUCUGCUCAAACUGGAGAGAGACUGAGGCUUCAAGAUUCGAACUUUUUGCUGCGGAAUUCGAAGAGGUAAAAGAGAGAGAAAGAGUUCGCACGAAGAAGGAGAAGAAAAAAACUUACUUGGGGUUCACUGGUUGAAUCAAAGCUGGAUUCUGAUGUUUCAAGCAGAGAGAUUUUUGAGUUGUGACGUCGGAGAAAGCCUCUCAGAGAUCUGAAGUUGUUGCAUUUGCCAUCGAUUUGCGAAACCUCAGUGAUCUGGUUUCGUGGGUUCUCUCUCUGGGUGAUCUGGAAUCUGGGAUUCGGAAGCGAAUUUGGUGAUCUGGGUUUUGCUCAGCAGUCGAUUUCUCGAUCUGGGUCGGUUUUUAUCUGAUGAAAUAAAUCUCUUCGUGGUUGUCUGCUUUGUGUUGAAGCUCCUGAGUUGAGUGAUUUAGGGUUUAACCUUAGAACAGCUGGGUGUGAUCUUGAAAGUUGAUGUUUCUUUUACGUUAGGAAACAGUGAUUGGUGAUCUGUGGUUUAGGGUUGGUGAAAGUUUGGUUUGUUGGGGGUACUGUCAGAAUCAAGACUGGGAAAUUCAGAUUCAGAUUCAGAUUCGGCUUUAUAAUUUUUUCAUAGAAAGUGAUCAUCUUUGCUUUCUCAUUGAAAGAAACAGUUUUUGAUGCAUUUCCAAUUAGAUUCAGACCAGUUUAGGUUAUAUAACUUCUGUAGAUUUGGUGUUUAGAUUGAAUGGCAACACCUGCUCCACCUCCUGCUUCAACUCCCUCGGCUGAGCCACCGACUGCCAUCAUGGCUUCCCCUCCUGAGCCAAGUGGCAAUGUAGGUAACCCUCCGAUGCCUCCAGCUCAGCCACCGCCUCUGGCCACUCCGCCGGCUCC